AGGGAAUAUUGCACAAUGGAGGAAACUCUGAUGCAGCGACGCCGCGUGAGUGAUGAAGGCCUUCGGGUUGUAAAGCUCUGUCGUACGGGAAUAAUACAGUGAAUGUACCGUGCAAGAAAGGAUCGGCUAACUUCGUGCCAGCAGCCGCGGUAAGACGAGGGAUCCUAGCGUUGUUCGGAAUCAUUGGGCGUAAAGCGGGUGUAGGUGGCUUUGUAAGUCAGAUGUGAAAGCCUGAGGCUUAACCUCAGAAGUGCAUUUGAUACUGCGAAGCUUGAGUGCUGGAGAGGCUACUAGAAUUCCAGGUGUAGUGGUGAAAUACGUAGAUAUCUGGAGGAAUACCGGAGGCGAAGGCGGGUAGCUGGCCAGACACUGACACUCAGACCCGAAAGCGUGGGGAUCAAAC
This 403-nucleotide ribosomal RNA is filed under the name uncultured bacterium. RNAcentral's name for it is "bacterial SSU rRNA". It matches the Rfam family "Bacterial small subunit ribosomal RNA", at positions 356 to 773 of the family's 1533-position model. The record is from RNAcentral.